Molecule: ribosomal RNA, 346 nt
Filed under: uncultured fungus
Lineage: Eukaryota; Fungi
Description: SSU rRNA
Rfam family: Eukaryotic small subunit ribosomal RNA
Source: RNAcentral
GUAGUCAUAUGCUUGUCUCAAAGAUUAAGCCAUGCAUGUCUAAGUAUAAGCAACUAUACGGUGAAACUGCGAAUGGCUCAUUAAAUCAGUUAUCGUUUAUUUGAUAGUACCUUACUACAUGGAUAACCGUGGUAAUUCUAGAGCUAAUACAUGCUAAAAACCUCGACUUCGGAAGGGGUGUAUUUAUUAGAUAAAAAACCAAUGCCCUUCGGGGCUCCUUGGUGAAUCAUAAUAACUUAACGAAUCGCAUGGCCUUGCGCCGGCGAUGGUUCAUUUAAAUUUCUGCCCUAUCAACUUUCGAUGGUAGGAUAGUGGCCUACCAUGGUAUCAACGGGUAACGGGGAAU